Methanococcus voltae A3 is the source of this 85-nucleotide non-coding RNA. NCBI's taxonomy places the organism in Archaea, Methanobacteriati, Methanobacteriota, Methanococci, Methanococcales, Methanococcaceae. The record is from Rfam.
GCGAGGGUCGCCGAGCCUGGUCAAAGGCGCUAGAUUGAGGGUCUAGUCUCGUAGGAGUUCGAGGGUUCGAAUCCCUUCCCUCGCA